This 421-nucleotide ribosomal RNA is filed under the name uncultured bacterium. RNAcentral describes it as "partial 16S ribosomal RNA". It matches the Rfam family "Bacterial small subunit ribosomal RNA", at positions 360 to 773 of the family's 1533-position model. The record is from RNAcentral.
AAUAUUGGACAAUGGGGGAAACCCUGAUCCAGCCAUGCCGCGUGUGUGAAGAAGGUCUUCGGAUUGUAAAGCACUUUCAGUUGGGAGGAAGGGGCGUUGGCUAAUAGCCAGCAAUUUUUACGUUACCGACCGAAUAAGCACUGACUAACUCUGUUACAGCAGCCGCGGUAAUACAGAGGUUGCAAUCGUUAAUCGGAAUUACUGGGCGUAAAGCGCGCGUAGGUGGUUCAGUAAGAUGGGUGUGAAAUCCCCGGGCUUAACCUGGGAACUGCUUUCAUAACUGCUGAGCUAGAGUACGGUAGAGGGUAGUGGAAUUUCCUGUGUAGCGGUGAAAUGCGUAGAUAUAGGAAGGAACACCAGUGGCGAAGGCGACUACCUGGACUGAUACUGACACUGAGGUGCGAAAGCGUGGGGAGCAAAC